UAGCGUAGGGUGCAAGCGUUGUCCGGAAUUAUUGGGCGUAAAGAGCUCGUAGGCGGUUCGUCGCGUCGGCUGUGAAAUCCCGGAGCUCAACUCGGGUCUGCAGUCGAUACGGGCGGACUAGAGUACUGCAGGGGAGACUGGAAAUUCCUGGUGUAGCGGUGAAAUGCGCAGAUAUCAGGAGGAACACCGGUGGCGAAGGCGGGUCUCUGGGCAGUAACUGACGCUGGAGGAAGCGAAAGCGUGGGGAGCGAACAGG
RNAcentral lists this ribosomal RNA (256 nucleotides) under uncultured bacterium. RNAcentral describes it as "partial 16S ribosomal RNA". It matches the Rfam family "Bacterial small subunit ribosomal RNA", at positions 523 to 776 of the family's 1533-position model. The record is from RNAcentral.